Molecule: ribosomal RNA, 108 nt
Filed under: uncultured fungus
Lineage: Eukaryota; Fungi
Description: 5.8S ribosomal RNA
Rfam family: 5.8S ribosomal RNA
About the family: 5.8S ribosomal RNA (5.8S rRNA) is a component of the large subunit of the eukaryotic ribosome. It is transcribed by RNA polymerase I as part of the 45S precursor that also contains 18S and 28S rRNA.
Source: RNAcentral
AACUUUCAACAACGGAUCUCUAGGCUCUUGCAUCGAUGAAGAACGCAGUGAAAUGUGAUAAGUAAUGUGAAUUGCAGAAUCUCGUGAAUCAUCAAAUAUUUGAACGCA